GAUGAUGUGUCACUCAUAUGGA
RNAcentral lists this non-coding RNA (22 nucleotides) under Arabidopsis thaliana (thale cress). Lineage: Eukaryota; Viridiplantae; Streptophyta; Magnoliopsida; Brassicales; Brassicaceae. The record is from RNAcentral.